GACGAACGCUGGCGGCGUGCCUAAUACAUGCAAGUUGAGCGCUGAAGGUUGGUACUUGUACCAACUGGAUGAGCAGCGAACGGGUGAGUAACGCGUGGGGAAUCUGCCUUUGAGCGGGGGACAGCAUUUGGAAACGAAUGCUAAUACCGCAUAAAAACUUUAAACACAAGUUUUAAGUUUGAAAGAUGCAAUUGCAUCACUCAAAGAUGAUCCCGCGUUGUAUUAGCUAGUUGGUGAGGUAAAGGCUCACCAAGGCGAUGAUACAUAGCCGACCUGAGAGGGUGAUCGGCCACAUUGGGACCGAGACACGGCCCAAACUCCUACGGGAGGCAGCAGUAGGGAAUCUUCGGCAAUGGACGAAAGUCUGACCGAGCAACGCCGCGUGAGUGAAGAAGGUUUUCGGAUCGUAAAACUCUGUUGGUAGAGAAGAACGUUGGUGAGAGUGGAAAGCUCAUCAAGUGACGGUAACUACCCAGAAAGGGACGGCUAACUACGUG
This 497-nucleotide ribosomal RNA is filed under the name uncultured bacterium. RNAcentral describes it as "partial 16S ribosomal RNA". It matches the Rfam family "Bacterial small subunit ribosomal RNA", at positions 28 to 507 of the family's 1533-position model. The record is from RNAcentral.